GAUCAUCACCUAUUUGAUCUUCACAGAAGAGACUCUUUUCACUCUUUGGCAACCACUUCCGCAUGUUUUCCUGUCAAAAAAAACCUGAAGAGCACCCACACCCGACGCGGGUGGUGGUCAUUUUAUUUGUUCUGCGCCGAUGAUGGACGA
Caenorhabditis elegans is the source of this 150-nucleotide non-coding RNA. The record is from Ensembl. NCBI's taxonomy places the organism in Eukaryota, Metazoa, Nematoda, Chromadorea, Rhabditida, Rhabditidae.